Lolium rigidum is the source of this 2889-nucleotide RNA transcript. RefSeq lists it as uncharacterized. The record is from RefSeq and is a predicted model, not a curated record. Lineage: Eukaryota; Viridiplantae; Streptophyta; Magnoliopsida; Poales; Poaceae. The transcript has 10 exons.
UUCUCCUUUGUGAUGCAAUCAAACUUGAUUAUGGUCCUAGAAGCAGAAGUUUCAUUAUGGGAUUGGCAAUUUUUUUUUUUGUCGAGUCUUAUUCUGUGAUUGCUCAUUAUUCUGUUUCAGAAAAAUGGGGAGUUUUGUACUUCACAUGGCAAUGAAAUAUCUGGAGUACACACUCGGCCGGGAGGAUGCGGAAGGACAUAUGCUGAAUCUUGCGUUCCAUUCCCAAGUCUUGAACUACCUAGGACGUAUCAGGGUUCCUUUCAGGACUCCACGCAUCCCACAGACCCCACCCCGUGUGCCGCCCGCUCCAUCUCGUCCUGGACUUCCGAUUGUCGUAGGACUAGGCGGUGGUGCCAUACUUCACAAGGCUGGCAGCUUUGUUUGGUCUUAUAGGUGGUGGAUUGGUAUUGGUUUGGGCGCCUGUCUGCUGGGACCCAGUAUCACAAACUAUCUCCGGCGCCGUCGCAGUGACCGCGAGCAGAUUACUGUUAAUCCACAUGCUGUUCACCCAUCUGCUGCAACAGAAGCUUAUAUUUUAGAUGGAUCAGCUAUUCUGUCUGCUUACCUGCAGGAGAUACUACAGAGUGGAAGGUUUCAGGAUCUGGACAUAUGUGAAGCAAAUACAUUUUUUCAGAAUCACCCAUUUGAAGCUCAAGCUAGCGCACUCUUUUGUGUCCAACACUUGUACCUUCAAGUACGAAACCAUGUCGAUCCUGAAAGUGACCUGUCCAAUUUACUGGAAGUUGCUUCUGAACGUGUUAGAAGGGUGCUGUCACACAACGAGUCAUUGGAACCGGUCAAUUCAGAUUCUUAUUCACUGUGUGUACAGUCUAAAAUGGAAAGACUGUAGCUCUUAUAAUCACUGGAAACCUCGGGAUGUUCAAGCAAUGGUAUUGCUGCUCUGGGACUAUCCACAAUGCUAUCGAAAUCAGAAGACCUUUCAGGGAUAUGAGUUACAUGGCUACCCGAAGAUUGCCUCCUGCUUUGCAAUCUAUGUGCACUUCAGACAUUGUAUUUGAAAAUAUUCAAGAGGGGCCAGAGUACAUUAUCCUGUCUGGUUCUACCAUCAUCGAUGUAUUACAAAACUUGAGCCUCGUCGAGUUUGCCUACCAGGGAGUGAGGCCGGGGAUUGAUCUCCGCGACCUGUGUGAGACCCUGCAUGGGCUGAGUGUACCAUCUUCAAGGCCAAGUGAGAACAUUCUGCUUGUCAUCGUACAAUUCAAGGCGCCCCAUCACCCUAUUACCCUGCAGUCCGAUGACAUAGCUCAGCGCAAGGGCAAAGCCCCGAUGGACGGCGGCGAGGGUACAUCUGGGUCGAAAGCCCAGUGAACUUGCAGCAAGGACACCUCACCUGGAGGUCUAACCUACUUGAUGUAUGUUGGAGAGGCGAACUUGGCUAAGAGGGAUUUGUGAGUUAGAAUCUGGGCGCUUUUGUAGGAUCACGAACUCGUGAUUGCCAUUGACCCACUUAACGUCUUGCACAUGUAGUAUGUUCGCAAUUGACCUGCCAACAAACAGGCCAAGCGUGUUAGCCUGAAAAGCAGUAUCAACUUGAACAUGCAGAUUGAUUGCUUGCUUAGCGGGAAUAAUUUUUCUGAGAAUUGAAACUGAUCUCUACGGAGACGAUCCUAACAAACCAGUGGUGUGUCCUAUACAUAUCCCAGCCAAGUCGCCGAAUCUUCGCCGCUGCAAACCAACCUUCCCAGGGCGCCCCUGCCCCUUCUUGCCUAGUCUGUGAGCAACUCAGUAUAUGUUGCACCAAACCCGAAAUUGAGAAACGACCCAGAUGAAGGGGCUCCAUCUCCUACUGUGUGCUCUCAGGGAAGUGAGACGAUAAGGGUGCUCGCAUUUUGGGUGGCUGUGAAGGAGCUGGAGAAGCGAAUUCUGUCCAUGCAGCCACCCAGAAAUGCAAUUUAUGAUUGUAGUGGUGCACCUCUUCCGGUUCAGAUGCAGCUGUUGUGCCUAUCAGGCUCAGUGCCUUCUUUUCUAGGUGCUAUAAAGCUGACAUGUGUUUUCUUCUUUGAAUAAAGUCAGAUAGUUUAUGCUAUGACCUUGCCUGUGGUUUUCUUGCGAGUUAUCAUUGGGUGGUACCCAAAACGAAGACGUACAAGCUUUAGCUUCUCUUAGAAAUUUUGUUCAAAAAGCUCUCUCCAAAUAUUUCAGUGCUAACCAGCUCCGUGCUGCCUAUUACGGCGAUUCGGGUGGCUAUUCCCUCCCCGCUGCCACCAUAUUCUUCUCCUUCCUAGCUUCCCUCGGCAUCCCCGGGCGACGCCGCUACGCAAAGUGGCGGACGGCGGUCACGGGAACCGUAUCUCCGUGUGCUCUCGGUACGUCCAUGAGUGGGUGGAAGCCCUAAACUGUUCUCGAGAUGUGCCCUCCCUCUUGUCUAGCCCAGAGUUUGCGAGAACUAUUACAGUGAGCCCUCCUAGGGUGAACAAAAAGAUGAACUGUUACAGUGAGCCCUCCGCACCCGAAUAUAUUGCUCAAAAGGCUCUUUCCGAAUAUUAUAGCGAUUUGGGUGGUGAUUCCCUCUCCGCCGCCAGCAUCCUCCUCCCCUUCCUUGGCUGGUCGAUGCCGCUGGCCAAUGCGGCAGACAGUCACAUAAAGUAUCUUCUUCUCGGGUGACAAAGACAAAGGUGCUCUCGUCACGUCCUUAAUAUUUUUUUAGAUGAACUGCCCCACUUUAUUAAGCAAUAAUGUUCGAAACUGAACUAAGAAUCGGUACAAUUUCUGGGGGAUUUCACAGCCACAGGUGACGCCCCAGAUCGAGAGAUGUAGCUGCACGGGCUAGAUUGUGAGCUUCUACUGUAUAUUGCCUUCGUUCAUGCAUGAAACGAACAGCAGCUAACCUGAGUGAAUACUCAUUGAUCUCUCGAAUAACAGAUGUGU